This 477-nucleotide ribosomal RNA is filed under the name uncultured bacterium. RNAcentral's name for it is "bacterial SSU rRNA". It matches the Rfam family "Bacterial small subunit ribosomal RNA", at positions 32 to 519 of the family's 1533-position model. The record is from RNAcentral.
AAUCAACGCUGGCGGCGUGCCUCAGACAUGCAAGUCGAACGAUUAAAGCUCCCUUCGGGGAGUGCAUAGAGUGGCGCACGGGUGAGUAACACGUAAGUAAUCUACCCUCGGGUGGGGAAUAACGUUCGGAAACGGACGCUAAUACCGCAUAAUGCAGCGGCACCGCAAGGUGACAGUUGUUAAAGAUUUAUUGCCUGGGGAGGAGCUUGCGGCAGAUUAGCUUGUUGGUAAGGUAACGGCUUACCAAGGCUACGAUCUGUAUCCGGUCUAAGAGGACGGUCGGACACACUGACACUGAAUAACGGGUCAGACUCCUACGGGAGGCAGCAGUCGGGAAUUUUGGGCAAUGGGGGAAACCCUGACCCAGCAACGCCGCGUGAAGGAUGAAGUAUUUCGGUAUGUAAACUUCGAAAGAAUAGGAAGAAUUAAUGACGGUACUAUUUAUAAGGUCCGGCUAACUACGUGCCAGCAGCCGCU